RNAcentral lists this non-coding RNA (45 nucleotides) under Schistosoma margrebowiei. Lineage: Eukaryota; Metazoa; Platyhelminthes; Trematoda; Strigeidida; Schistosomatidae. The record is from RNAcentral.
AUCCAGCUGAUGAGUCACAAAUAGGAUGAAACACUCGUCCUGGAU